RNAcentral lists this ribosomal RNA (216 nucleotides) under Mycobacterium sp. ITM-2017-0098. RNAcentral describes it as "partial 23S ribosomal RNA". It matches the Rfam family "Bacterial large subunit ribosomal RNA", at positions 1314 to 1544 of the family's 2925-position model. Lineage: Bacteria; Bacillati; Actinomycetota; Actinomycetes; Mycobacteriales; Mycobacteriaceae. The record is from RNAcentral.
AAGGCAAGUGAGAACCUUGCCCGCCGAAAGACCAAGGGUUCCUGGGCCAGGCCAGUCCGCCCAGGGUGAGUCGGGACCUAAGGCGAGGCCGACAGGCGUAGUCGAUGGACAACGGGUUGAUAUUCCCGUACCCGUGUGUGAGCGUCCCUGAUGAAUCCGUUCUGCUAACCGCCCAAAUGGUGGUCCACCAAUCCCUUCGGGGUGCGGGGUUCACCG